Long non-coding RNA from Myotis davidii, 2213 nucleotides. RefSeq lists it as uncharacterized. The transcript is spliced from 3 exons. NCBI's taxonomy places the organism in Eukaryota, Metazoa, Chordata, Mammalia, Chiroptera, Vespertilionidae. The record is from RefSeq and is a predicted model, not a curated record.
AAACAAAACCACAAACCAUUAUUUGUAAGCAAAGUUUGGAAAAAUCACAAACAACAACAAUUAGCUAGAUUAUAAGCUUACAACAGGAGGUUGGUUAGUACCAUUAAGAUUUUGGGCUUUACUAAAACAGCAGUGUUUUUCCUGUGCUUUAGUAAAUGCCUAGGAUUGAAGUUAGCAGGUUAAAGGUUAUGCAUUUUCUUCCGUGUGCUGCCAAAUUGUUCUCCAGAAUAGUUGUAUAUAUGGUUCAGUUUACACCCCCACCCCCCCGAGUAUUGGAGUGCUGUGCUAUUUCUUGGCACUGAAAGUUGUGAUUUUCAAAAAUCUUUGUCUUUAUUUAAAAAUUAACCAUGCUUGUUAGUAUGCUUGUUACAGUGAUUCAAUUCAGUAAAUAUUUCUUGUCUGUUAGUGGUAAUACCAAGUUACCCAGACUUCUGGUAUUAUCUUUGAUUUUUCCUUAGUUUUCCUUGGAUUCUCUUGAGGUCACUUAUAUUUUAAUCUUAUAACUGUAUUGUCUGUACUCUUCAUUUCUUGCUCUCCUUUCUUGUUUCAAAAAGUUUUUAUUUGCAUAUUAAAAAAUUGUGCAUACCAAUAAUUAAAAGGAUUUUAACCAAAAGAAAAUGGCACUCUGGUUACUCUGCAUUCUACAGCCUGCAGGACAUCUUGGACCAGCUUGAUUUUUACUCUGGAAUUCACUGUUGUCCCACCGAGUUUCUUCCUUCACCAACACAUGAGUGCUGUUCCUUCCCUGCCAGCCAGACAGGCAGAUGGAGAGGCAGGUGCCUGCUCCUUGGUCAGUAGUUCUCUGAUGGGAAAAGGGGCAGCUCAGUCACUUAAACUUGAUGGAACCUCUUUGCAUUUUACAAAGUUAAGCAGUUAAAAGAAGAAUGCAAUACUUGUGGAAUGUAUAGUGCAUACUGAUGCCAAAUCAGGUUUGUCAGACGUGAUUGCAAAAGAAGUGGAGUGAGGCCGAGGACGAGAGGAGUCAGACCUGCUCAGUGGCUGCUGCCGAGCCUUGGUCUCUUUCCUGAAAGGCCUCAUGUGACUGACUGGCCUUACAGAUUCCCUUUUGUCCUUGACCAUCACACACAGUGCUGCUGAAUAAAUAAUCAUAUUCAUAUUAAAAGGACAAUUGUAGUCCUAGAAUGCAAAAACCUGUUGGAAAUUCUCUCUACACAAAAUCAAACUUUAUAGCUUGACUUUUAAGAUCCUCUUUACCUUUUGCUUUUAGUUGCCAAGAGAUGGCUGUAGGUACCGUUUUCAAGUUUGGUUUAAGGGUAGUCUUUGAAACAAUUAAAACCAAGAUUUUUUUCCUUUGGCUAUAAGAAAACCCCUGUUUUAAAUUUUGUGCAGAUGUGCCUGAACUUCAGUUUUGUUUCGAACGACCUCAUUGGCAAGGGGGAGAAUUUCCCCCUCUACUCUGCUUUAGUUUUUUUCUAGACUAAUUAGUUCUGGACUAAUAAUAAAGCUAAAAAUAAAACAGGACAAGCUACAUAGAAAAACUGAUUUAAUACAUGUGCAUGGGAGAAAUCACAAUAUGAUGCUCAGAUCAUAAAAUGAAGCUCAAAGAAGUGAUUGAACCAGCACCUUUUAAUAUUUUUUAGACAAACAAUUUGUGAAGAAUUCACAGGACAGAAAGUUAGUGCUCCUGAGAAAGGAAUCUAAGCAAGGUUUGGGUAUUAGUGAGGAGCCUGAACAAAGUUUGGACUUGGGUAGUAAAUUAAUAAAGUGUUUAUAGAAGCUCUUUGGCUCUGGAUCUCUUAGCUGUAGUGAUAAGGGUGUCUCUCAGCCCUCCUGGAGCAGGGAGGACACCUUUCACAGGGGAGAUUUAUUUCCUGCACUUAAGGAGACAGUGGAGGGUCAAGGUGCUCUUCUGUCACUGGCUGCUUGUCAAGUAACCUUAAUUCAAAGUAAUCAAUAUGCCAUUAGGGGACAUUUUGGGGUGGCCUGUCUCAAGCCCAGCAUCCUCUUCAGGAGAAAGAAGUAAUAGCUGUUCUUUGAUGGUGACUGAUGUGAGAAAUUCAGGCUGUGGACCUUACCUCCCAGAAUCUAUGAAACUGGAAUAAAGCCUGCUAGGAAUCAUGCAUCCUGCCCUGACCUCUUCAACUGGUCAGCAACUGGUGUAGUUUGGGGUUUGUCAUUUUAUUUCAGACUUUUAAGAAUCUUCGGAGUGGAUUUAGUCUUUAUUUUUAGCAAGGAUAAUGAUGUUUAUAAGG